This 253-nucleotide ribosomal RNA is filed under the name uncultured bacterium. RNAcentral describes it as "partial 16S ribosomal RNA". It matches the Rfam family "Bacterial small subunit ribosomal RNA", at positions 524 to 776 of the family's 1533-position model. The record is from RNAcentral.
UACGUAGGGUGCAAGCGUUAAUCGGAAUUACUGGGCGUAAAGCGUGCGCAGGCGGUUGUGCAAGACAGGUGUGAAAUCCCCGGGCUUAACCUGGGAACUGCACUUGUGACUGCACGGCUAGAGUGCGGCAGAGGGGGAUGGAAUUCCGCGUGUAGCAGUGAAAUGCGUAGAUAUGCGGAGGAACACCGAUGGCGAAGGCAAUCCCCUGGGCCUGCACUGACGCUCAUGCACGAAAGCGUGGGGAGCAAACAGG